CCAAGGCGAAACCGCGAAUGGCUCAUUAAAUCAGUUAUGGUUCAUUGGAUCUUACCUUGUCCUACUUGGAUAACUGUGGUAAUUCUAGAGCUAAUACGUGCUUCCAAGCCCCGACCGCAAGGGAAGGGCGUUUUUAUUAGAUCAAAACCAAUCGGGCUGCGGUCCGUCCUCACUGUGGUGACUCUGAAUAACUUUGAGCUGAGCGCACGGUCCUCGUACCGGCGCCGUAUCCUUCAAGUGUCUGCCUUAUCAGCUGUCGAUUGUAGGCCAUGCGCCUACAAUGGCUAUAACGGGUAACGGGGAAUCAGGGUUCGAUUCCGGAGAGGGAGCCUGAGAAACGGCUACCACAUCUAAGGAAGGCAGCAGGCACGCAAAUUACCCACUCCCGGCACGGGGAGGUAGUGACGAAAAAUAACGAUGCGGGACUCUUCCGAGGCCUCGCAAUCGGAAUGAGUACACUUUAAAUCCUUUAACGAGGAUCUAUUGGAGGGCAAGUCUGGUGCCAGCAGCCGCGGUAAUUCCAGCUCCAAUAGCGUAUAUUAAAGUUGCUGCGGUUAAAAAGCUCGUAGUUGGAUCUCAGUUCCGGACCGACGGUUCACCGCCCGGUGCUUACUGUCGGCUUCCGAACAGCCACUACGCCGGCUCGGUCGGGGUGCUCUUCAUCGAGUGUCCCGGCGCGGCCGGCACGUUUACUUUGAAAAA
Molecule: ribosomal RNA, 702 nt
Filed under: Atopobathynella sp. 3 KMA-2012
Lineage: Eukaryota; Metazoa; Arthropoda; Malacostraca; Bathynellacea; Parabathynellidae
Description: SSU rRNA
Rfam family: Eukaryotic small subunit ribosomal RNA
Source: RNAcentral